Doryrhamphus excisus (bluestripe pipefish) is the source of this 9634-nucleotide non-coding RNA. NCBI's taxonomy places the organism in Eukaryota, Metazoa, Chordata, Actinopteri, Syngnathiformes, Syngnathidae. The record is from RefSeq and is a predicted model, not a curated record.
UCCAAAUUCCUUGGUGGUGGAGGGGUUGGGUGGGGGGGGUGUACAGCACUCAGCAGACCAAAUAAAGCAUCCAAUGUAGUCGAAGUUACAUUUUUUUUUUUUUUUUUUUAGACAAUUCUCAUACCAAGCUAACAUUCUCAUUAGCGGGUUAUUUCUGCAGCAUUUUUAUUGCAGCCAUGAGUUCAUCUUGAAAUGACGUAAUCAUUAAAAAAAAACAAAAUUCGAACAAGCAGUGCUGUAGACGUCAUUGACAAUGUUUUUUUUUAGUCUUUAAAUGGAAUGUAUUUUUUUAAUCCAAAUAGUCUUGCAACAACUUGUGAAACUAAAAAAACAAACAAACGCUUCAGUCAAUUAGCAGUUAGCUAAUAGCUAACACCCGUUGUCCGUGUGUUCAAGUCGAAUGUGGAACAAAAACCGAGGUGCAGGCUCCGAGGGGAUGGGAGGUAAACCGGUUGCAACAAAGUGCUACGAGAUGAUUCGUUGGCACAGGAGGGGUCACAUGUACAUUAUUUACACAAUCACACGCUAGCUAAACAAGCUGCCUUCAUGCACUUUUGGAAAAAUAAACUUCUGGCAUUCCUUCGAGUAUUUCGUAAGUUUGUGUUUGUUUUUUCCAGGAAGCAUUCGGUGAGGUCGUAAAGUAUAAACAUGCUACGAGGUGGACUCCGAGAGGAGUCACGGUAAAGCUUGACUGAGUGAUCCUCACGCUGGAGUGGUCCAGCAGCGAGCGGUGGAAGAUGAUCCUCUUCCUUCUGGAGUCCCGGAUCCGUCGGCUCGGUUUGGAAGAUGGCGUUGAUGCGUUGAUAUUUCAGGUUUUAGGUCCGAACCCAGCUGACGGGCACCCAGAAAGAUUCACGCUCCAGUCUUUCUAGAAUACUCCUCAGCUCCGUGCAGGCGCUGGCUGAGUCCUCUUUGAUCAGGACCCUGUCCACCAGGUGUCCGUACUGAUGAUCCAUCUGGAUGGCCGACUGACGCAUCUCCUGAAGGUCCUCAUCCUGUUAAGGGACAUCAUGAGCUUACUUGCAUCCUAAGCUGUCUUUCAGAAUCCGCUAAACUACCUGGGACCUCCGCUACCAAGGGAUCGGGAACUGCUGAUCUCCAUUGUCCUGGACUGAUUAUUCCAACAGAUUAGGGUCGGUCUACUUAAGGAAUCCCUAGAACCAUUUGUAUCUGAAUCUAUUUUUUAGAGGCCACUCAAAUACCUUGGGAUCUCGACCUGAUCAGUCCAACAGAUUAGGGUCGGUCUACUCAAGGAAACCCUAGAACUCUAGAAUCUAUUUUUUAGAGGCCACUCAACUACCUCAGGAUCUCUACCUGAUCAGUCCAACAGAUUAGGGUCGGUCUACUCAAGGAAUCCCUAGAACCGCUUGUAUCCGAAUCUAUUUUUUAGGGGCCACUCAACUACCUCGGGAUCUCGACCUGAUCAGUCCAACUGAUUAGGGUCGGUCUACUCAAGGAAUCCCUAGAACCACUUGUAUCCGAAUCUAUUUUUUAUAGGCCACUCAACUACCUCGGGAUCUCGACCAGAUCAGUCCAACAGAUUAGGGUCGGUCUACUCAAGGAAUAUCUAGAACCACUUGUAUCCGAAUCCAUUUUUCAGAGGCCACUCAACUACCUUGGGAUCUCGACCUGAUCAGUCCAACAGAUUAGGGUCGGUCUACUCAAGGAAUCUCUGGAAAUGUCAGAAUCAGUUGGGACUACCUCAUCUCUAAGUCUGAGUCUUAGGACAAGAAACCUCUCAAUCUCCAAAGGUGUCCAAAGCCUCCACUCACCGUGACUCUGCCUUGCUCCGCCCCCCCUGGCGAGCUGGCGGCCGUGGCGCGUCGCCGUCUGUUCUCAGGGACCCGUGGUUUGACAAAAACAACGUAAGGCUUGAACUCUGCCGUCCUCAGCCUCUUCAGGGCCUGGAGAGUGAUGGAAUGAUCAGAACAAGCGAUGCCGGUGAUGGUAACCAUGGUGAUAGGAUGCUCGCAGUCCUUCACUGUUACCUCAGGCUGAACGUCUACGACACACAUCUUGUUCUUGGCCUGCACUGAGCGGAUGGCCUCGAUGCUGGUGCCAUACUGGUUCUCCUUGUACUCCCCGUGUUCUAUGAACCUGAAGGAGUAUCAGCCGACCUGUUAGCAAAACCUCCUGAGUCUACAUUCAGGAAUAAGGAGACACUGACUUGUUGUUGAGGACGUCCACGUCAAACUGCUGCUUGGUGACAAAGUGAUACUCCACUCCUUCCUUCUCGUGGGCUUUCUUGGGCCUGGUGGUAUCUGCAGGACCACAAACGACCCGUUGAAGAUCACGCUAUCUUGUCAUUCAGCGUUAAGUCAUGUAGGACUCACGUGGAACCGCCACCGCGUAGCGAUGUGGGUUCUCUGCGAUCACCCGUUGCUUGAGUUCAUUGAUUCGAGCUCCAAGAGAACCUUUAAGGAAACAAAUAAAAUACACAACAAUGUAACGAUGGUCGCCUGUGGAUGCUAAGGUUCCACGGUAUGGAGGCAGAUCUAAUGUUUGGGUUGAGACGGCCUGUACGGCCUGCUUUUUGUUUUGUGGUCUUCACAUUAGCAUGCUAGUUUUUGCACCCACCCUGGAUAAAUGAUAUGAUCUGUAGUCCUCUUCGUAGAAUUCCACUACUGUGUACUUCCCUUACCGAUCAGAACCACCAGUCGAGGUCUCUCAUUGGGGCGCUGUUGGUAGCGUGUCACUUCCUCGUAGGUCAGGAAGUCCGAGUCUCCCAGAUCGGAACCGUCGCUUGAGGACCCUUGCCGGUCUUUCCGACUCAAGCGGAAACUCCUGCGUAGACCAGCUAUGGUGGAUUUGGAUGACAGAAGUAGAAACGGCGACCAGUGCUGAGGCGCCUUGCCACAGUGGACUACCCCCCAGGGGAACGAGCCGGCCACUGUACCUGAAUAAAACUCCCAGGAAAACACCUGACCACAGGAGGGCGCCACUGCCUUACACUUAGGAGAGACUACAAGUGGUGUUAGAGCGUCACCCGACCGGCCUUCACGUGCACACCCAGGAUCGUGGACCACAAGGCUGAUUUUCAGAUGUUUCACUUCUGCAACCCCGGGGCUACAAAACAGAAAACCAUCUGAUUUACCAACAACUUACUGUAACAGUAACCAAUUGGAAACUAGCCUCGGGCCACAUUUCCACCAAGCGGUCCAGUCGGGUCGGAGGCAUCUGCUACAUAAAGCAUCAUCUUAGCAACAUGGCGAGAACAACAAGAGACUUUGUGCGUCCUGCUUGGUGGAAUGUCGGCAUUUGCACAUCCGUGACUCCAUCCUCAACCGUGACAUAGAAGUCAACCCUACAGCCAAACAUCGCACCCCGGGCCUGAAGCGUCCAGGGAACCGGCGGAACACAAGCCAAGGACAGCCAUGACAGUCGGAGAGCAAGAGAGAGGAUGUUGUGGUGAUGGAGGAUAGCAAAGGUGUGCAAUGCUCUCACCUAUGUACUGUCCAUUGAAAUAGCCCUCACAGUCACAGUCGUCUGCAGGGAGGCAAGCAGGGACAAGAAGAAGGGGUGGGUCAGCACAGGGUAGAAAUGUUCUGUGGAGGUCUUUGACGAAAGGGGGCGGGGCUUGGAGAGCGGAAGGACUAAGGUGAUAAUGAUGGAAAAAAGUAAUCUGGAAAGAUGGAGGGAUGAGAAACCCAAACGAUUCAGCCCAAAACAUGAAAGCUCAUCGACAACCGGACUUUUCGAGGUCGGAUGUUGCCUUUUUACCGCCUGUGGCAUCGCUAUUUCGAAAGUGGGGAGCAAUUUAAGCAAGAAUAGCGACGAUGCGCUCAUGCAAACAUGCCUGCGUGUGUGUGUGUGUGUGUGUGUGUGUGUGUCGUCGGCAGUCCUACUCACCCUUAUCACAUGCUUGGUCAACUGCAAGACAAGCAGACAGAGUUCAAAAUUGUACUUUUUAUUUGCGUACGAGGAUGUGACGAAAAAGAAGAUUUAGAGACGCAGGAUUAAAGCAGACAUAAAAGUCACUAAUGGGAAAAAGCGAGGGGGGCCCUGCUGUGGGCUGGAGGGGAAUUAAGCUAGCCGGGUGAGUGAGGAGUCUCCCUGCAGAGGGGGAGGGGGGGGCGACUGCCAUGUUACUAAGCCGUGGUGCCUAAUCGGAUCGCUCGCAGCUUACAUAUUGCAGAGAACUCCCCCCCGCCCCUAACCCUGAAUAUGGACCCACCCCUCGCCUACCUGGUUGCAUGCAUGCCAACAUGGAGCUUGAAAGUAAAAAGCAUAUUGUUGAGGACUUAAUCUGUCACCGGGUGACAUUAAUCCAUAUCUGCCCCCCCCCCUCGUGUGUAAAACAUGUCCACCAGCAGAAGAAAGGACUUCCCACAGUGCUAAUGAAUAAACGUCAUGCUAACGAGUUAGCAGAGGAAGACACUGAAGGUCGGGAAAAACAAGCAGGAACUUACAGGCUGGCGUUUUGGGGGAUUUGGGAUUCGGGAGCGUGCCUACUUUCAUCCUGUAGGCCAGGCGCCUGGUGACGUUCAGGACAAGGGAAGAGAAGAAGAAAAGAUGGGGGUCAGUCAACAAGGUGCCUCUUUGUAUAAGGCAAUUAUUUACCGUAAUUUGUGGGGCUUACGUACAAAAACCCCCGUAAAAGGAGGAAAAAUGUCGGGUGAAUUGUCUUUUGUGGGGGGGGGGGGGUACCAAAUAAGCGGGGACCUACUGGACGUUACUACUAAAAGGGAAACCAGGGAUCAAACCGGUAACUUCUCAGUUGCGAGACAACCACUGCGUCCGCAUGGGGGGAUCUGGUUCCUCUCACCUCUCCUGGAACUGCUUGGACGGGACCAGCCCAGCCCGCAGGUUGCUGUCACCCACCCGCUUGGCCUGCCACCACGUGGGGUCGUCCUGGGUGACCACCUGCAGGAUGUCGCCCCGCUUGAAGGGGAGUCCCGCUUCCUGGCAAGGAGUGGCCUUGUCCUCCAAGGGGAUGUAGUCGAACAAGGCUCUCACGUAGACCUGCAGGGAUGGACCAGACUUUAGAGUUGGUAUUAGGGUUGGUGUCCUACUUGAGGAGAACCACCCUAUGCAGUCUCCAGACACGACUCCUUCAAAGCCCCCUCAGAAAGCCUUUUAAAUCCUCCAUAAAUGGGACAAUGUAAAUUCCAGGUUGGGUUGCAUGUCCUAUUCUGACCCUUAUGUCACAAUGCUAGGUGGCUACAAACUCUAUUAGCUUUACUAGCAUCAUAUAGAGUAUUUGAAGGGAUUUUAGCCGUGCAUUUGUGUGCCGAGUCUUGGACUUGGCUCACCUUGCUCUCCCGCAGUCUGUCCUCCUCCUUAACAGCAGGAAUGAUCUUGAGCGUGAUGGACCCCUGCGACUGAGACUGCAGAUCAUAUUAAGAAACGAUCUUUGCGUCGCUAUUGACGACUGACUGUACGUUUUGGAUGCGACUCACCAGCAGCUGACUGAUCUCGUCCGGUCUCUUGUGGAUCACCGAGAUGCCGUUGACUUCCCUGAGUUCAUCUCCGACGUGGACCAAACCUGCCAGUCGGAGCAAAGUAAAGUCUGUGAUGGAUUUAUUCUGAUAUCUCCGCUGACGUCUCUGAGCCGCAGGAACAACAAGGAAUCCAAGACGCUGACAACUGAUCAAUACUCUCGUCUGAUUGCCUGGACACAGACUAUGAAUAAGAGAGUACAUGAGGCUGAUGUUUCCAUGGUAACGACUGUCAGAAUGCCUUCACUGCCAUCACCGUGGUUACAUACGUAUCAUUGUAUCUUUACUUCAAAUAAGCAUGACAAAAAAAAAUGGAUGCGGAGAACGUAACCGCGACAUACCGCUUCGAUCUGCGGCGCCUCCUCUCAUGAUGCGAGCCACGAUCACGGCCCCGGUCACGUCGUCUCGCCUGAUGGUGGCGCCCUGGUGCGGGAAGCUAGACGCACUAUCUUCACCGACUCCUCCUCCAGUUCGUCCUCGUAGUCGUCCGGCAAUGGCGGCAGGACGGGAUCGAAACUUUUCUGAGCGACGGUGUCGUGUACAGAAAGAAGGGCCUGACGGGAUGUGACAGAUGGAGCAGCUUCAGAUGCGGCGACGUGAGCAGGUGCACCAGCUCCCUCUCCUCUGAGCUCAUGGCUCUGCUCUGCAGCUCGUCCGCCACCUGUCCGUCACACACACAUCACGCACGCCGUGAGGAUACCCGCCAACAGCAGCUUCCUGCCGAGCCCACUCAGGACGAGUGGCGAGCGGCCGAGAAGCGGUGAAGCAUCUACGACCGGUGGCUAAGAUGUGGAGAUUAAACAGGUUCUUCCAAGUCUGCGGUUUGUUCAUGUGGUUCGAUGCUCAUUGGAUUGAUAUCCCCUCUAUGGCACCUCUGCUGGCUCUGAUGACACUAAAGUCAUGUGAUACGGAAGAAGACUGGAAGUAGUGGACCCCCCCCCCCCCCCCGCCCCCCCAAGCCCCUGCCCUCAUCAGACAAUCUGGUAUAGUUUUUUCCCUAUGUUUUUGUAUGUGAUGAAGAGUAUUGGGAGAAAAGUGGCUGGUUGCUAACUCGGGAAAUCACUGCCCCCUAGGCUUUCGGCAGAGAAUUGCAAGUGAUGAGCUUUCAGGCUUAUAUUAUGUCAGUCAUUCUGUACGUUCCAGAUUAAGUCAGAUUGAAGGCCCCCCCCAAAAAAAAAAUCCAGUUGCAAAGGCGACAAGGAUCUUUUUUAGCAUGUACGGGUGCACGUGUAGAAACUGAAUAAGGCGGCUUUUGUGUUUAAAUUAAUUUAUUCAUAUUUACAAAAACCACCUGUACAGGUUUUAUAAAAGCACACCGUCUCAGACGCCCAAAGCGUGAAGAACAGACGAGUGAUAGUUGGCACAUCCGUGAGCAACGCGACUCUUGUUAGUCAACCAAAACCUCAAAAAGCUUUCAUCAAGUGCUGGAAUUCAAAACAAGCGUAUCCCUUUUCUAGAAGAAUCUAGAAGAAGGGACCAGCCCUUUUUGUCUUAACGGAGAUGAUUUUGUCUAACAAAAAGUCCUAACGAUUGCGGAGAAGAAGCACAAUUGGAACAUUGUCAAGGCUACAGAAAGAUUUCACCACGCCAGCGACCGUCGUGUUUAGCGUCACACGUCGUCGUCUCUUUGGCGGCGCUUCCUCACGUCACGUCAUCAUCGUCCUCUUUGAUUGGAGAAGAAAACAAAAAGUUUCAAGCGUCCACAAGGGGGAGCCGCUUCAGUUUUUCUUGUCAUCUCCCGGCAGGAAGUAGGGGUUCUCGUGGCCUGGGACCAGAUACGAGUAGCGGGAAGGGUUUUUGUCUUUGAAGGUCUUCAUGGUGUCCGCGUUGAGGUCGUAUGAACCCGACUGAAAAGAGUGACGCUCACCACGCCGUUGGUGUGACGCUUUCUGUCCACCAAGGCACGAGUGCUGCCCGCCUCCACCAUCUCCAAGGAGGGCGGCAUCGCAUCCCAGGUGGUGGUGGCGGCGGUCGCGGAGGCGCGGGGAAGGGGCGUGAUGUCAGAGGGCCACGGCUUGGUCAGUUCGCCCGCCGGGUAUGGACUACUCGUGCUGUUGCUGGGGUCGCCUCGACACCGCCGCCUGGUGAACACACAGAGGGUCGCGGGGGAUGCUGGAGCCUAUCCCAGCUGUCUUCGGGCGAGAGGCGGGGUACACUCUGGACUGGACGCCAGCCAAUCACAGGGGACAACAACAAGGGAGCACCCAAGAGGGACCGUUCAUCAGCAGCGUACUACAUCAACAGUGACGUACCCCUCACUUGGUCCUGUGAGCCCAGUUCUGGUUGGAUUUCAGCGAUGAGAAACAUAGUUACUGGGGUACCCAAGUACAGAGUUUGGCUUCUCAAAGCAGUGUGUGUUUGUAUGUGACAAAAAUACCAUCUUGAAAAAAAAUCACACCUCAGCCAUCUUGUUUUGGUAUGUUUUGUAGCAGAUAAAGAUGCGAGGGUGGCGUCUACAACUGGACUCACGGGGCCACAAGUACGGGAUACUGAAUGGGAGACGGUUUUUCCACUCUACCAGGUGGGACACGCCACGGCUGACUUCAGGCGGUGUUAAGCGGGCCCCGCCUUCACCCACUGAGACUAUGACUGACAAAAGGGCUCACUCCGUUCAUGCUGUUGUUCUACGGAACAAACGUGGCAAGGCGCUCCUGUUUGGAGGCUGGAGAUGAGUGUGGCCCUAACGCCCCCCCUCCCCCCAGUAGAGGAGACCUGACAAAGAAGCAGAGCGCAGGUGGCCUUGGAGGGGGGCAGCUGGAAGACGGCGGUCUUGGCGGCGUCCUUGUGGCUGCUGAGGUCAGACGGGCUGAUCUGGUAGGAGGAAGGCGGAGUGGAGGAGUGCUGCUUCUCCAUCUGCUCGCUGAGCUCCUGCGAGGGGGUGAGCUGCUGGUGAGGAGGCGGGGGGGCGUCCAGGCUGCUCAGGUGGAAGACGUGCUGCGGCGAGGAGCCCGCCAGCAUGGCAAAGUGCGCCUUUGGCACGGAGGGGGCGAAGCCGCACUCCAGGGGCGUCGUGGUGUAGAUGUUCUUGUCAGAGUAGAGGGGGUUCACCGUGUGGGCCGUGGUGAAGGCUCCGGAGGAAGCGGGGCCGGGCCCGAGGGGGAAGCCGCCCGUGUGGCUGGUGCGCUCCAGAGCCUGCAGCAGGAAGCGCGAGUACUCGUUCAUCACGGCGGUCUUGUCCCCGGACGGGCUGGGGGCGUCGGCAUCAGGGGGGGUGAGCUCCACGUGCUGGUCGCCGAUGUCAAAGUGGAUGUCAUGGUGGGAGCCGUCUGGCUUUUGGCUGUAGUGGUCCAGCAGGCUUUGCAGCACCUCGUCGGGGAUCCCGGACUUGUCCAGACUGAGUGGGGCGUCGGCGUCCAUCAUGGUGGACACGGUGCCCUGGAUGACAGCGGGAUGUGAGGACAACAGUCCGACGUCAUAUUCGCUGCCACUUCCCACUCCCACGGCGGGCCCCGAUGUUGUCACGCUGUGGGGGCCGUGAAGGUAGCGCCGCUUCUUGAGGAAUUGCAUGGCGUCGUCAUAGUUACUACUGGUGGCGCCGCCCACUUUGGCACCAUUGGCAUGCAUGAGGCCCAGACCGUGAUCCACGUCGGCUCCGCUCUGCUCCAACACAUCUACCUUGCCGCCUUUGUCCGCCCCUUUACGGGGGGCCUUCUUGAAGGCCAUCUUUGGGGCACGGCCGUGGUGUUGCAUACUGGGGCCUGGCUCGGUGGACGAGGACACCGUCUGGUUCUCCACGGCGUACUCGUGAAUGCUGUACGCUCCAGACACGGCGCCGGGAACAUGAGGCACUCUCAGCGUCCCUCCGUCUCCCUUCUUCUUCUUUCGGGGGGCUCCCUCUCCGGGAUUCUUGGAGCGUCCUCUUUUUCUGCCAGAGUUUCCCUGAGUGAUUCCGUAGCUGCCCAUGUCCACACAUCCCAUGUCCAUCAUGCUGGGGUCCAGGCCCUUCCUUAACGCUUCUCCACAGGUUCGCUUGUGCUUCAGCAGGCGGUCCGUCCUAGAAAAAUACUGAAGCACAAACACGAGGCUGAAGAUGCUACAGCUGGACGUCGGCGCCAUAAGAAGCAGGAAGUAGACGAGGAGGUCACAAACCUGUUGGCAGGUCUCGCAUCUGUACGGCUUCUCUCCGCUGUGCGUGCGCUUGUGUCUCUCCAUGUGGUACUUCUGGAUGAAGCGCAUGUUGCACUGGUCGCAGCUGA